UACGGGGGGGGCAAGCGUUGUUCGGAAUUACUGGGCGUAAAGGGCUCGUAGGCGGCCAACUAAGUCAGACGUGAAAUCCCUCGGCUUAACCGGGGAACUGCGUCUGAUACUGGAUGGCUAGAGUUUGGGAGAGGGAUGCGGAAUUCCAGGUGUAGCGGUGAAAUGCGUAGAUAUCUGGAGGAACACCGGUGGCGAAGGCGGCAGCCUGGACCAACACUGACGCUGAGGAGCGAAAGCCAGGGGAGCAAACGGG
Molecule: ribosomal RNA, 253 nt
Filed under: uncultured bacterium
Lineage: Bacteria
Description: partial 16S ribosomal RNA
Rfam family: Bacterial small subunit ribosomal RNA
Source: RNAcentral